AAGGUGGAAUAAAAUUAUUGAGCAGAUUAUGUUAAUGUUAGUCUUUUGUUUUACCCCUUAACCUGUAGCUAGUUGGAGCAGGAUCUUUUGAUAAACAAAUGAAGAAAGAAAGUCUCUGUGCCUUAGAAGCUGAAAGGUACUGUAUUGAGAUAUAAUUUAGCAGUAUUAGAAUCAGUUUUAAAAUCCAUUCUUGUUAUUUACGAACACUAUUGAUUAGGAAGCUUACACCAAUGGCACUGUCUUAGUGUCUUGUAUCGAGACCUUAGAGAUGUACAUCAUCUAAACAAUGCAAGUAAUGUGAAUCUAUGAUAAUGUAAUAAAUUGGAAGUUUAUAUGAUUGCGGAGAUCCACAUUAUAUAUGAUUGCACUCUGUCUUCUGAUAUAUAUCCUCUUGUCUUUUACAUGUCAUAGGGAUUUGAUAAGGGUUUACUGCUUAGAAGGCUAUCCAAAAUGGAAGUACAUGCUCCGAAAAUUCAUUCUUCUGAGAAAGUAUGAGAAGAAUCCAAAAGGACGGCGUAGAAAUGGAAAGAUUCAAAGGGUAUCUGCACUGCCGACUCUGCGAAUAAGCUGCCGAUUGGUGCGAUAAAAAGUGGACAGUGGCUACAUGGUUUUUACCAUUCGGCAGAAAAGGUCACUGUCUCUGUAAUCCUAAGUUCUUUUAGUUUUAAAAAUCCUGUGAUCGUAAGUUGAAUUGCAUUAAGUUAUGAUGUUAUAGCAUGCCUUGUACUGUUUAUGUUUCAUACAAUUUGCUGUGCUCUACCAUUUCAAACUUGCAGAGACCCUUUGUGUCUCUACAACAAUUUGUUCAGCUUCUCAAAGAUUAUAAAUUUGCUUUCAUUUAUCCAUUCCAAACACUAACUAGAAGUAAAAGCACACAAAUGUAUAUUAUACACACAAUAAAAGCAAAAAAUCAACAGGGAAGGCCUUGUGGAGUAUUAUGUUGGAUCUUCUCCGCGUUUCCUUCACUGGUAUGAACGUUCAAUACGAUAGUAGUACUCCUGGAAUAUAUAUGUAUCCUCUGACACAAGGUUUUUGUAGUUGUCUAAGAUGUUUCAUCUAAAAUGCACAGUAUAUCUUGCUUCUGAUCAGUGUGAAUCAUCACAAGCUUCUAACUUUUCUUUGAGAUACCUAUGAAAUUCAUCUUUUUUGCUGAGAGA
Long non-coding RNA from Daucus carota subsp. sativus, 1157 nucleotides. RefSeq lists it as uncharacterized. NCBI's taxonomy places the organism in Eukaryota, Viridiplantae, Streptophyta, Magnoliopsida, Apiales, Apiaceae. The transcript has 2 exons. The record is from RefSeq and is a predicted model, not a curated record.